CCUACGGGUGACAGCAGUGAGGAAUAUUGGUCAAUGGGCGUAAGCCUGAACCAGCCAAGUCGCGUGAGGGAUGAAGGUUCUAUGGAUGGUAAACCUCUUAUAUAAGGGAAUAAAGUGCGGGUCGUGUCCCGUUGUGUAGGUACCUUAUGAAGAAGGAGCGGCGAACUCCGGGCCAGCAGCAGCGGUAAUACGGAGGAUCCGAGCGUUAUCCGGAUUUAGUGGGUAUAAAGGGUGCGUAGGCGGCCUUUUAAGUCAGCGGUGAAAUUCUGUGGCUCAACCAUGGAAUUGCCGUUGAAACUGGGAGGCUUGAGUAUGUUUGAGGCAGGCGGAAUGCGUGGUGUAGCGGUGAAAUGCUUAGAUAUCGCGCAGAACCCCGAUUGCGAAGGCAGCCUGCCAAGCCAUGACUGACGCUGAUGCACGAAAGCGUGGGGAUCAAACAGGAUUAGAUACCCGAGUAGUC
Molecule: ribosomal RNA, 460 nt
Filed under: uncultured bacterium
Lineage: Bacteria
Description: partial 16S ribosomal RNA
Rfam family: Bacterial small subunit ribosomal RNA
Source: RNAcentral